This 492-nucleotide ribosomal RNA is filed under the name uncultured bacterium. RNAcentral's name for it is "partial 16S ribosomal RNA". It matches the Rfam family "Bacterial small subunit ribosomal RNA", at positions 29 to 507 of the family's 1533-position model. The record is from RNAcentral.
AGUGAACGCUGGCGGUAGGCCUAACACAUGCAAGUCGAACGGCAGCACAGUAAGAGCCUGCUCUUACGGGUGGCGAGUGGCGGACGGGUGAGGAAUACAUCGGAAUCUACUUUUUCGUGGGGGAUAACGUAGGGAAACUUACGCUAAUACCGCAUACGACCUACGGGUGAAAGCAGGGGAUCUUCGGACCUUGCGCGAUUGAAUGAGCCGAUGUCGGAUUAGCUAGUUGGCGGGGUAAAGGCCCACCAAGGCGACGAUCCGUAGCUGGUCUGAGAGGAUGAUCAGCCACACUAGAACUGAGACACGGUCCAGACUCCUACGGGAGGCAGCAGUGGGGAAUAUUGGACAAUGGGCGCAAGCCUGAUCCAGCCAUACCGCGUGGGUGAAGAAGGCCUUCGGGUUGUAAAGCCCUUUUGUUGGGAAAGAAAAGCAGCAGGUUAAUACCCCGCUGUUCUGACGGUACCCAAAGAAUAAGCACCGGCUAACUUCGUG